AUUGAACGCUGGCGGCAGGCCUAACACAUGCAAGUCGAACGAGGGGCGGACGGGUGAGUAAUGUCUGGGAAACUCCCUGAUUGAGGGGGAUAACUAAUGGAAACGGUAGCUAAUACCGCAUACCGUCGGAUGUUCCCCUAUGGGAUUAGCUGGUAGGUGGGGUAAAGGAUCACCUAGUCGACGAUCCCUAGCUGGUCUGAGAGGAUGACCAGUCAAACUGGAACAGAGACACGGUCCAUACUCCUACGGGAGGAAGCAGUGGGGAAGAGUGGAAAAUGGGCGCAAGCCUGAUGCAGCCAUGCCGCGUGUAUGAAGAAGGCAUGCGGGUUUUAAAGUACUUUCAGCGUGGAGGCGGUACCCGCAGAAGAAGCACCGACUAACUCCGUGCCAGCAACCGCGGUAAUAC
RNAcentral lists this ribosomal RNA (406 nucleotides) under uncultured bacterium. Its description in RNAcentral is "partial 16S ribosomal RNA". It matches the Rfam family "Bacterial small subunit ribosomal RNA", at positions 30 to 526 of the family's 1533-position model. The record is from RNAcentral.